CGGAAAGAGGCGGUGCUUGGCGGAGAGGGACAGGACCCGUCCCCAGCCUGCGCUCCGAUUGGUCAAUCUCUCUCCCUCCUCUGCGCGGGUCCUGGUCGCCGAGGCGUCGGCCCCUCGGCCUUUCCUUCGUUUUGACGCGAGUCUCAAGCUCUAAUACCUGACUCACAAAAUGACCAUAGAAAUUAAAAAUAAGGACUAUGACUUGUUUUAUAACUAUGAAAGACAAAAUUGUGUUCUUUCCAUUACUGAACCCUUCCCAGCUAAACACGCACACACACUCCCAUCCCCAAUCUCCGGGGAGCCUCCCACGGGGGAAGCGUGGACUGUCUCUGAAAACAACAUUGUUUGCAGAUUCAAGCUUUUCACAGGAGAUGAAUCAGUUUAGGAAAGGUGAUUCCUGAAACAUGACCAACAACAAAGCUUUGGAGGAUGUAUAAUUGGAUAAUGGAGGAUGUGCAUGAGCAGAGGAGAUACACACAAUAUGCAUGUUCGCCACCAUUCCUUGAAGUCCCACUUGCAUGUGGAGUUCAGGACACCCUAUGAGCACAGACUUCUGAUGAACCUAUGAUGUGUGGAAGUUGAGCAUAACUCAAAGUACAAGAAUGUCUGGGGUCUCGUCUGGGAAGUCUGAGCUGCUAAGGAAGGACACAAAUGGCUGGUGAGGAGGGCUGGUAAGCAGUUUCUACGUGAUUGCUAAAGACAAGGAAUGGGUAGUCAUUGGAGGCCACACAAAAACUACACCCGUAAAUUAUCAAUAAUGAUGUGGGGGAAAAGCAAAGAUUGACCAUAUGUAAAAAUUGGGGCAUUUCUGAUUAUUUUCUUACUUAACGUUUUUGAAAUUCAUCUGAAUUCCAACCACCUCGUAUGCUAAAUAUGUGUCAUCUAUUUUGAAUAUGAGGAAUGCAUCAAAGUGUUUAAAGGCUUGAAUAAAAAACAAUUAGAAGUGUUAGGUGUUUAGAAUGUUUGUUUACUUAAUCAAAGAUUUCUAGUUUGUGGGAAGAAAGAAAAGGAAGUUUGUGUGAGGAUUCCAAGAAACCAUGGGAUGGAGAUUUAAGAAAAAUAGGUGAAAUAUAAUCGGUGAUAUAAAAAUAUUUUUGAUGGUAUACAGUACUGAAAAUAAAUGUUGGCAUACAUCCACAUAUAUGGAUAUUUAUUUAUAAAUUACAUACAUGG
Molecule: long non-coding RNA, 1173 nt
Organism: Acinonyx jubatus (cheetah)
Lineage: Eukaryota; Metazoa; Chordata; Mammalia; Carnivora; Felidae
Exons: 4
Source: RefSeq, a predicted model, not a curated record